UUGAGUUAAGACGAGGAUAAACUUAAUGAAUCCAUACUGUGAGCGGAUAGGGAAUCUGAUAAAAAAGCUGGCGAUAUUUUGUGCCUGACUCAACAUAUUUUUCACUGGAAGAAUUGAACACGCUUUGGCAACAAUAAGGUUUAAACGAUGACUGGAGUAAUGAACAUGCAACGCCUUCGGGUUUUUUCUAAUAUUCUCUCGAAGAUGUGUAGAGAUUUAACUGCAAUAUUUCCUACAGCGGUCUACUUCAUGCAGUCACCCAUGACGACUUUUCCCGGAGAAUAAAGAAAG
RNAcentral lists this long non-coding RNA (291 nucleotides) under Dendronephthya gigantea. RNAcentral describes it as "uncharacterized LOC114544794, transcript variant X1". Lineage: Eukaryota; Metazoa; Cnidaria; Anthozoa; Malacalcyonacea; Nephtheidae. The record is from RNAcentral.